CUCGUAUAAAAUGACCCGCAUGCUCAGCUCUCGUUCUUUCACCUCAACGCUUGGUCGGAUGUUUGGUUGUGUGGCUUUCGUGGUGGAAUCUGCUUUUAUCAAUUGACAGAACAAGGAAUGGGGCUGAGCACAUGGUAUGUCCGUCUGUAGGACAUUUUCGAGGUCUUGAUUCUGGUGAUUGGUUUGUAUUCGUUGAAAAUGUCAUUUUGUGUUAGAAAUUGAAUCUUGCCAUAACUGUGCACAGUAAAAUCGCCAGUGUUAAAGUCAAAUUAACACUCGGUGUAUAUAUAAUCCACACUCUCAAAGUGUGGAUUAUAUAAACACUGUGAGAGUUAAUUUGACCCUUUUUAACACUGGCGAUUUUGCUGUGUGUGUGUUCAGUUUUGUCUUAUGUAACGUUUCGUCAAUAAAGUGUUUUCUAAAGUCUGGCUUGCAAGUUCAACUCCUUUUUUUCGUAGUGUAUAAUUGUUUGAUUCUAUAUGCACUUGAAUUCAUUGACUGAUAAAUUUAGAAAAAUUCAAAACUCUGUCUGUAAUUGCAGUGAAGUCCUCCAUUCUUGGCAUGCUCGUGGUUGUUUUGUACUCUUGUUUGUAUGUAUGGAGGAAUAUUAGUUCCAGUGUAAUGUCUUCGGUGCCAGUAUGUUCCCGUCAACUGGUUCUAUCCUCAAUCACUGGGACACAUUUAAACUGUUCUUGAUGUCAAUGCGAAUAAACUUUAAU
Molecule: long non-coding RNA, 719 nt
Organism: Triplophysa rosa
Lineage: Eukaryota; Metazoa; Chordata; Actinopteri; Cypriniformes; Nemacheilidae
Exons: 3
Source: RefSeq, a predicted model, not a curated record